CACGUAGGCGGACAUUUAAGUCAGGGGUGAAAUCCCAGAGCUCAACUCUGGAACUGCCUUUGAUACUGGGUGUCUUGAGUAUGGAAGAGGUGAGUGGAAUUCCGAGUGUAGAGGUGAAAUUCGUAGAUAUUCGGAGGAACACCAGUGGCGAAGGCGGCUCACUGGUCCAUUACUGACGCUGAGGUGCGAAAGCGUGGGGAGCAAACA
Molecule: ribosomal RNA, 207 nt
Filed under: uncultured bacterium
Lineage: Bacteria
Description: partial 16S ribosomal RNA
Rfam family: Bacterial small subunit ribosomal RNA
Source: RNAcentral